Vicugna pacos (alpaca) is the source of this 6873-nucleotide non-coding RNA. The record is from RefSeq and is a predicted model, not a curated record. NCBI's taxonomy places the organism in Eukaryota, Metazoa, Chordata, Mammalia, Artiodactyla, Camelidae.
GUUCUCUUAUACAUAUAUAAAUGAAUGACUUUCCUGUACACCUGAAACUAACACAACAUUGUAAACCAACUAUACUUCAACAAAAAAUAAUACAAUUUUUUAUAAAAAGAAUGUUCAGGGUCCUUUCCUGAGGACUCUGCUGAGUGGAGGCCAAGGCUACCUGCUCCACGUCUCAGGAGAAAGCCUGCCUCUCAGCCUCUGGUGAGCGCUCCCUCCUGCUAUCACAGGAUGUUAUAAAUAAAGAAAAAGAGGAAGGUGGGAUCCGGUGCUGGGAAGACAAAGGCUGGCUCACCACUCACCAGCAGCAAGUGUAAGGAACCGAAGUUUGAACUAAAAGUGCAGCCUCCCUCGGCCUCCCCUUCUCUGCUUUUUCUCCACCUGCACCUCUCCAAGCACCUUCCUCUCACUCCUCUCCCAUCCCCUCUCCACCCAGUUGGCCAUCUGGUAGCCAACUGCCAUUUUUGGAGCCAAACUUUCUUUUAAAUUAUUGUUAAAGUAUAGUUAAUUUACAAUGUGUUAGUUUCAGGUGUACAGCAAAGUGAUUCAGUUACACAUAUACACAUAUAUACACAUUCUUUUUCAUGUUCUUCUCCAUUAUAGCUUAUUAUAAGAUAAUUGAAACUAGUUCCCAGUGCUCUACAGUAGCUCAUUGUUGUUCACCUAUUUUAUAUAUAGCAGUCUGUAUCUGUUAAUCCCAAACUCCUAAUUUAUCCCUCCUCCCCCGGAGCCAAUCCUUUUUUAAAGAUUCUCUUUGAACACUUUAUUCAAGCAUAGCAUGCAUGCAGAAAAAUGCACACCUAUCGCAGGUGCACGACUACAUGAAUUUUCAUAAAGUGAACACAUAUGUAACCAACGCUCAUCACAAAGAUCAAGAAAUGGAACAGAAGGCUGUCAAGGGACUCUCUGCGGGGAUAGAAAUGUUCUAGGUCUUGAUCAUGGUGGUGGCAACACAACUGUAAGCAUUUGUCAAAACUCUCUGAAUUGUGCACUUCAGAAAUCUGAGUUUCAUCAUGUGUAAAUUUUACCCCAAUAUAAACUAAAGAAAGAAAACAUCCCCAGCAUGCCAUUUCCCCUCCCAGUCAGCACCCACUUUGCACUGAAAGUCAUCAGUAUAAUGACUGCUGAACUUAGAUCAGUUUUGCCUGAUUUUGAACUUCUGGUAAAUGGAAUCACACAGCAUAGGCUCCUUGAGACCUGGCGUCUUUUGCUCCACGUCAUCUUCCACGCUGGUCCUUGCAGCUCUAGGUCCUGCAAGUCCAUCACUGCCCGGGGUGGCUCACGUCUAUUUAAUCAUUCUCCCAGGGAUAGACAUGUGGCUGGUUUUGAGCUUUUGCAAACAGUGCUGCUGUGAACAGUCCAGGGUGUGUCUUUGGUCCUCAUGCACACAGCACUUCUGCUGGGAGGGCAGCGCUACUGCAUACUGCCCAGGGGUUUCCCGAGGCGGUCACACUGGAUGCCACUCUAUCCAGGAGUGUUUGAAGGUUCCGAUUCUUUGCCCAAUCUUGGUUCUAUCCUAUUCACUGUCUGUUCUGUUGUUUGAUCUCUUUGUUCUUACAUUUAAGUCAGCACGUAUGUGCUGAGCAACUGAGCACCAACUGUGUGCCACUCACCAUUCACCAUGCUAGGAACCAGAGUCACAAAAAGGAACGGAUGGGAACCCUGUCCUAAACAAAUGGUUCGGAGCAGCUGACUAACGCAGAUGACUAUAAUAUGAUGUGAUGGGGCUCUGGGACCAGACGAGGACAUGGUUAAUCCCGGCAAUCGUAAUUAAUAACCCAGAUUUGCCACAUUUUAUUUAGGAAAACAAAUCUGACAAUACCAAGUGUUGGCAAGAUGGUGAGAAAACAGAAACUCUUUAGCACUACUGCUCGUGGUGAUGUAAGCUGGAGAACAAUUUGACUAUACCUAGUAGAGCUGAAGGUAUCACGUAGCAGAAUUCACCAAUUGCCCUCCUGAGGGUCUUUUUUGUAUUAUCAAACAUUGGAAAUAAGUAAUAUUGUCCACCAACAGAGGAAUGAGCAAGUAAACCAUGUUGUAUUCAUAAGAUAGAAUACCUUCCAUCUGUUAAAUGAGCUGGAGCCAGGCUCAUCACAGACGUGUCAUAAAACUGUAAUAGGGAAGAAUAAAUCUGACUGUAUAUUAGAUCUGUUUCUUUUACUUUAAACUUUGUAUUCUGUUGGUUGUUAAUCACUAAAGGGAUGUUGCCAGAGGCUGGUUUGGGGCAGGCAGAGUGGGGUAGGUGUUCAGUAAGCGGGCUUUUCAGCCUUGGGUGGGAUCCCAUGACCCCAGAGUUGGCAGGGUUGUUUGUUUGUUUGUUUGUUUACUGUCUCCUGGCUCCCCUGGGAGCUCAGCUCCUCGGGCAGGAUCACAGGGGGCAGUGGGGACCCUGACCCAGCAAGGCAGGACCAGCGUGGGGCCUCUGUCCGGUCAUGCUGGCUUUGGGACCAGGCUCCCAGUCCAGUGCUCUGUUUAUCCCAGACAGUGUGCGCGAGAGAGGAAGGGAGCAGUCGGCAGAGGAAGGAAAGUGGUGGUGGGAGCAGGUGAACGCUGAAAAGCCCCCUUACUGAGCAUCUUUUUCGUGACGGACACUGGAGGGGGAAAUCACCACAGUCACCUUUUAAAAAUGUCCCAGGUGAGGACCCCAAGGCUCAGGGAGCAGAGAGGUGCAUCCUCCAUCACACGUUAAGAUCCAUUUUUAAACCUCCCAAUCCAUCUUUCUUCUCUCACCUUUUGAGCUUCCCACAUGGAGCAGGUACUUCUGUCCCACCCUGCCUACCCCAAACUGGCCUCCGGCUGGAGUGAGAGUCAAUGAGAUUUGAUUCUCAUCCAAGUGCCUUCCAAGUUCAAGAGAGGCCCCUGACCCCACAGUCCCUCCUGCAGCCCGUCCCGCAGAUAACAGAGGCCUCAGCACUGCUAUGCCUGCCCACAGACUUCUGUCACAGGCUGCUCCGCCGAAAAUCAAAUUGCAAAAAACCAAACAGGGUAAGAACAACUAGACUAUGAGCAACUUCCAGCUUCCUCUGGGUGAGCCAGAUGUGAGCCCGGCUGGCAGGUGUUUCUGCCUCUAGUCAGAAAGUAGAAGUUACAGGAACACCAGGGGCUGCCCACCCACAUCACAUCUGUGCCUCCCAAAGGCCAAGGGUGGAGGCAGGAGCCUCACUUAACCCUAACAGGGGACAGUCACCUGGAGAGAGGGAGGAGAGAGCCGGACAAGGCACAGAGGAGAGAGGAGAGAGCUAAAGGGAAAAAAGAAAGGUGAAACAUGGCUUAGGGAAAAAAAAAAAAUCUUACAUUCUGUCUCACCUAUUUGUUCAAAAAGAGAUUGGAUUUCAGAGUUCUAGGGUUGCUCUGAGGCCUGAAGAUAUGAAGGGGAAAAUGACUACUGUAAGUUUAUCCCCUCCCCACUACACCUCCCCCUCCCCAGGAGUGGGAGAGGCCCAUGAAGGCAUCUCGUCCUGUCAUCCCCAGGCCUGUGACCUGCGACACAGCAUGGCUGGAGUCGGCUUAAAGGAAGAGGGCUGUCAGACCAGCACGGGUCACAGAGAAAUGGCUCAGGGCUUCUGUGAAAGCACUUGAGGUUUUUGAAAACCCCACCUAAGAAUUACGGGCUAGAGAAUCUGCCCAGCCUGCUUUGAAGAGGUGACCCACAUCCUCAAAGUCAAAGGCUGGGGGGCAGGUGGUCAGCAGGUGGCGCUGCAAAGAAAGGGGCCCGGGCUCCCCAUCCUGUGGGAAGUGGCUAAUACUCAGGUCCCUGGCCCCACGAACCAUGCCCUGCAGUGAGAGCCCCCACCCCACCCCAGCACUGCUAAGGAGCUGGGGGGCUCUAGAAGAACACAAGAAGUUACCUUUUUUCUUAGAAUUAAGGCGAAUCCCUGGAAAGGAUGCUAGAGCAAAAAUACUCCUCAAAUUCCCAAGAGAGUUCAGACUUCAUUAGCAGAGUUCUGUAAAGUACACUAGUUUUGUGUUUGAGGAGAUAUUUUAACCCUAAAAGCAUUAACAUCAUCCUAUGUUUGCAAACCCAAGGGCAGAACCUAGAGAUAGAUGGUACCAGUCAGGGCUCAAGGUUAAAACAAGAGAACUUAACUCUGGUUAAUUUAAAGAGAAAGAAUGCAUACUGGGCAGAUAGUAGGUAGCGUUAGAAAGAUUCUAAUGAAUAAAACCACAUCACGUAUUAUUUUAGAGGGAUGCUCUAACAAUUAGAAUCAGGCUUACCACAUUAGGUUAGAGAGAAUCAAGGUAACCAUGGCUUAAAUAAGAUAAAAGUUUAUUGCUCUCUUGUGAAAAAUAAGCCUGGAAGUAAAUAGUCCCAGGUAGGUAUGGGGUCCAAGGCCCCUCAGUCUCAUUGUUUGACAUUUCUCUUCAUGCAGUUUCUAACUCAUGACGUAAGAUGACUGCCCAAGCUCCAGCCAUCACGUUCAUAUUCCUGCCACAAAAAUAGAGGAAGGAGUAAAACAAGACCUCCCAGAAGUUGCAGACACCUUUUCUCUUUGCAUCCCAUGACCAGAACUUAGUCAUAUAACCACACCUAGUUGUAAGAGACAACAAGGAAUAUCAUCUUUAUGUGGGGCAGCCACAAGCCCCAGCUAACAAAUAAGGAUUCUGUGACAAAUAAAGAAGAUGCUGGAGAGAAAAUUAGCAGUUUCUUCCACAGGGCUUUAAACCCUAUGAACCCUGACCAUGACAACUGUAGUCAAAAUACCUGUGUCAUGUGCUCAGACCAAGGGCCCCUCCGCAGCAUGCCACAUCAAGCAGGGCUCUUCCUCUCUGGGACAACUUGCACUAGAGAGGAAUUAGAAUUUUAAGCCAAGAAACAUGUGAAGGAACUGCUUGAUGUUCUGUGGGAAAACACUGCAAAUUGCAGGCACCAUCUCUGGGCUCUGGCUGUGAAAGCAGCAUUAACAGCGCUCACUAAUGCUCGCCUAGCCCUUCACAAAUCAUGUCGCCCUGGGCUGUGUCUGAUUUCACAGCCCUGACCCACAGGUACUGAUCUCUUCUCAGGGCUGGUGCCAAGCCAAGUGGCAGAAAUGGCCUCCAAUACCUCUGCAGGAGACACCUACUAAACAUAUAAAUUCGUGUAUUAGACAAUAGGAGGGUUCCAGCCAGGGAGCUUCUGGAGGCAAGGAACAGAGAGAUGCUCCACUGGAGUGACUUCCAGGGCGUGCCCACGGGACAGCCUGGCAACUGGGAGGUGCCCCUGGGGACUCUCCCUUCUCCUGGGAAACGUGUGAUGCCACAACUCAGACUGUUAUCUUUUGUUCUUAGCAAGGGGUUAGAGGUCUCAGGUUCUUUCUGAAAAGCAAGGUUGCACAUCUGUACUGGGAACACAAAUCUGCAACAUGUGUAAACCUCGUGCUUGAGACACUGUUGUUUACAGCUCUUGGUUGCUGGCUGGCUCUUCUGAUGUCUGUCUCCCCUGUCUCCAGGGGAGAAACCUGUUGCUUUGAUUCCUAAACAAGGCAGAAGAUGCCAUGAGAGGGCUCACGUCUGCUACAGGAAAGGCAAUAAGGGGGGUUAUAAUGUAACUCACCUCUCCCUGGGCAGUUGCCUAUUGUCCCCAGAGACAUGACCGUGGACAGCCCCCCCACUGCUGCCAUCAGAGAACAAACUCCCUCCAGCAGAAGCCAGAUCCGAAAUGAGCUGCUCUUCAAUGAAUCCCACCUGCGUCCAAACCCUGACUGUGGUUCAUAUGUAUUUAUUCAUAAUUCCCAUUUGGUGAGCUGGGUAUUUGGGCCUGGUUUUUCUUAUUUUUCUUCUACAUGCCAUGAGCUACUUGUAGAGCUGCUUCUUAAAAGAAACUUUUUUUUUUAAAAAAAGGAGUAUUUAACACUCUUUUGAACACUUGAAAGAAAACCUUGUUCUUCAACCCCAGCAGUUUGAAAUGGAGGCUUCUUUAUGGAUAAAAAACAGUUUCAUCAACUCCACAAAAACUCUACCUACCAGUUGCAGCCAUUCCCUCCACCCCAGCCCCACCAACCCAUGACAACCACUGAUCACUAUGGUUUUGUCUUUUUAUAAUGUCUUAUAAACAGCUCUAUACAGUGUGUUAAUCUUUUGCAACUGGCUUCUUUCACUGGGCAUAAUGCCUUUGAGAUUCAUCCAAGUUGUGUUGUGUGUGUGUGUGUGUGUGUGUGAACGGUUCACUCUUUUCUAUUGCUGAGUAGUAUUCCAAUGGAUGAAUAUACCGCUGUUUAUCCAUCACCCAUUAAACAGCAUUAAAGUUGUUUUAGUUUUGGGAAAUUAUGAAAAGAGCUGCUAUAAACAAUAAUGUACAGAUUUCAUUUCUCAAGAAAAUGUCUAAAUACCUGGGAGUGGGAUAGCCAGGUCAUAUGGUAAAUAUAUGUUUGACUUUUUAAGACACUAGCAGAAGAUUUUCCAGAGUGACUGGACAAUUUUGCAUCCCCACCAGUAAUAUGUGAGCAUUCCACUUGUGGAAGUUUUUCUCUUGUGUUUUCUUUAAAAUUGUUUUUAUAGUUUUGUAUUUAACACUUACAUCCAUGAUUCAUUUUGAGUUAAUUUUUGUAUAAAGUGUGAGGUUUAGGUCAAGGCUUACUUUUCUGCAUAGGAUGGUAAUUAUUCCAACACCAUUUGUUGAAAAAAACUAUGCUUUCUCCUUUAAUUAUCUGUGUACCUUUGCCAAAAAUCAGUUGAUGCUACUUGUGUGGGUCUUUUUCUGGAAUGCUCUAUUCUGCUUUAUUGAUCUAUAAGCCUAUCCUGCCCCCAGUACUGUCUUGAUCACCAUCGCUUUAAGGUAACUCGUUAAAUCAGGUUGAGUUCACCAACUUUAUUCUUCUCCAAAAUUGUUUUGGCUAUUCUAAUUCCUUUAGUUUCCCAUAUAAAUUGUAGAAUCAGCUUGUCCUUAUCUCAAAAAAAAAA